ACACGUAGGGGGCGAGCGUUGUUCGGAAUCAUUGGGCGUAAAGGGCGCGCAGGCGGCGAGGCAAGUCCGGUGUGAAAGUGCUCGGCUCAACCGAGUGAUGCGCUGGAAACUGCCCUGCUUGAGUACAGGAGGGGACGUCGGAAUUCCAGGUGUAGGGGUGAAAUCUGUAGAUAUCUGGAAGAACACCGGUGGCGAAGGCGGACGUCUGGCCAUGUACUGACGCUGAGGCGCGAAGGUGCGGGGAGCGAACAGGUUUAGAGACCCUGGUAGUCCGCACAGUAAACGAUGUGCACCAGGUGGCGGGGGGUAGCCCUCGGUACCGAAGCCAACGCAUUAAGUGCACCGCCUGGGGAGUAUGCUCGCAAGGGUGAAACUCAAAUGAAUUGACGGGG
This 392-nucleotide ribosomal RNA is filed under the name uncultured bacterium. RNAcentral's name for it is "partial 16S ribosomal RNA". It matches the Rfam family "Bacterial small subunit ribosomal RNA", at positions 523 to 918 of the family's 1533-position model. The record is from RNAcentral.